RNAcentral lists this ribosomal RNA (253 nucleotides) under uncultured bacterium. RNAcentral's name for it is "partial 16S ribosomal RNA". It matches the Rfam family "Bacterial small subunit ribosomal RNA", at positions 524 to 776 of the family's 1533-position model. The record is from RNAcentral.
UACGGAGGGUGCAAGCGUUAUCCGGAUUCACUGGGUUUAAAGCGUGCGCAGGCGGUUGUGUAAGCCAGAUGUGAAAUCCCCGGGCUUAACCUGGGAAUGGCAUUUGGGACUGCACGGCUAGAGUACGGCAGAGGAGACUAGAAUUCCUGGUGUAGCAGUGAAAUGCGUAGAUAUCAGGAGGAAUACCGAUGGCGAAGGCAGGUCUCUGGGUCGAUACUGACGCUCAUGCACGAAAGCGUGGGGAGCAAACAGG